CCUACGGGAGGCAGCAGUAGGGAAUAUUGCUCAAUGGGGGAAACCCUGAAGCAGCAACGCCGCGUGGAGGAUGAAGGUUUUCGGAUUGUAAACUCUUUUUGUUAGAGAAGAUAAUGACGGUAUCUAACGAAUAAGCACCGGCUAACUCCGUGCCAGCAGCCGCGGUAAUACGGAGGGUGCAAGCGUUACCCGGAAUCACUGGGCGUAAAGAGGGCGUAGGCGGGAUAGCAAGUCAGUUGUGAAAUCCUAUGGCUUAACCAUAGAACUGCAUUUGAAACUGUUAUUCUAGAGUAUGGGAGAGGUAGGUGGAAUUCUUGGUGUAGGGGUAAAAUCCGUAGAGAUCAAGAGGAAUACUCAUUGCGAAGGCGACCUGCUAGAACAUAACUGACGCUGAUGCGCGAAAGCGUGGGGAGCAAACAGGAUUAGAUACCCCUGUAGUC
This 440-nucleotide ribosomal RNA is filed under the name uncultured bacterium. RNAcentral describes it as "partial 16S ribosomal RNA". It matches the Rfam family "Bacterial small subunit ribosomal RNA", at positions 338 to 795 of the family's 1533-position model. The record is from RNAcentral.